CCCCAUAUGAACUUAAUGCUGAUUGUUAAGGUUCUGACUCAACAGAUGCCCCCCCCCACUAUGAACUUAAUGCUGAUUGUUAAUGUUCUGACUCAACAGAUAACCCCCCACUAUGAACUUAAUGCUGAUUGUUAAUGUUCUGACUCAACAGUACAGAUGCCCCCCCCCAUAUGAACUUAAUGCUGAUUGUUAAGGUUCUGACUCAACAGUACAGAUGCCCCCCCCCCCAUAUGAACUUAAUGCUGAUUGCUAAUGUUCUGACUCAACAGUACAGAUGCCCCCCACUAUGAACUUAAUGCUGAUUGUUAAGGUUCUGACUCAACAGAUGCCCCCCAUAUGAACUUAAUGCUGAUUGGUAAGGUUCUGACUCAACAGAUUCCCCCCCCCAUAAUGAACUUAAUGCUGAUUGUUA
Long non-coding RNA from Oncorhynchus tshawytscha (Chinook salmon), 412 nucleotides. Lineage: Eukaryota; Metazoa; Chordata; Actinopteri; Salmoniformes; Salmonidae. The record is from Ensembl.